GACGAACGCUGGCGGCGUGCCUAAUACAUGCAAGUAGAACGCUGAAGGAGGAGCUUGCUCUUCUGGAUGAGUUGCGAACGGGUGAGUAACGCGUAGGUAACCUGCCUGGUAGCGGGGGAUAACUAUUGGAAACGAUAGCUAAUACCGCAUAACAGUAGAUGUUGCAUGACAUUUACUUAAAAGGUGCAAUUGCAUCACUACCAGAUGGACCUGCGUUGUAUUAGCUAGUUGGUGGGGUAACGGCUCACCAAGGCGACGAUACAUAGCCGACCUGAGAGGGUGAUCGGCCAGACUGGGACUGAGACACGGCCCAGACGCCUAGGGGAGGCAGCAGGAGGGAAUCUUCGGCAAUGGACGGAAGUCUGACCGAGAAACGCCGCGGGAGGGAAGAAGGGUUUCGGAUCGGAAAGGUCUGUUGUAAGAGAAGAACGAGUGUGAGAGUGGAAAGUUCACACUGUGACGGUAUCUUAACAGAAAGGGACGGCUAACUACGUG
This 495-nucleotide ribosomal RNA is filed under the name uncultured bacterium. RNAcentral's name for it is "partial 16S ribosomal RNA". It matches the Rfam family "Bacterial small subunit ribosomal RNA", at positions 28 to 507 of the family's 1533-position model. The record is from RNAcentral.